GUUAAUAUAGUUUUAAAACAAACAUUAGACUG
Molecule: transfer RNA, 32 nt
Filed under: Actinemys marmorata (Northwestern pond turtle)
Lineage: Eukaryota; Metazoa; Chordata; Testudines; Emydidae
Description: partial tRNA-His
Source: RNAcentral